RNAcentral lists this ribosomal RNA (301 nucleotides) under uncultured bacterium. Its description in RNAcentral is "partial 16S ribosomal RNA". It matches the Rfam family "Bacterial small subunit ribosomal RNA", at positions 509 to 809 of the family's 1533-position model. The record is from RNAcentral.
CAGUCGCCGCGGUAAUACGAAGGGGGCUAGCGUUGCUCGGAAUGACUGGGCGUAAAGGGCGCGUAGGCGGCGGCCAAAGUCAGGCGUGAAAUUCCCGGGCUCAACCUGGGGGCUGCGUUUGAUACUUGGUUGCUUGAGUGGGGAAGAGGGUCGUGGAAUUCCCAGUGUAGAGGUGAAAUUCGUAGAUAUUGGGAAGAACACCGGUGGCGAAGGCGGCGACCUGGUCCUUUACUGACGCUGAGGCGCGAAAGCGUGGGGAGCAAACAGGAUUAGAUACCCCUGUAGUCCCUGUCUCUUAUAA